UACGUAGGCAGCGAGCGUUGUUCGGAGUUACUGGGCGUAAAGAGUGCGUAGGCGGUGCUCUAAGUUUGGUGUGAAAUCUCCCGGCUCAACUGGGAGGGUGCGCCGAAAACUGGAGUGCUCGAGUAUGGGAGAGGUAAGCGGAAUUCCUGGUGUAGCGGUGAAAUGCGUAGAUAUCAGGAGGAACACCUGCGGGGUAGACGGCUUACUGGACCAUGACUGACGCUGAGGCACGAAAGCGUGGGGAGCAAACAGG
This 253-nucleotide ribosomal RNA is filed under the name uncultured bacterium. RNAcentral's name for it is "partial 16S ribosomal RNA". It matches the Rfam family "Bacterial small subunit ribosomal RNA", at positions 524 to 776 of the family's 1533-position model. The record is from RNAcentral.